UACGGAGGGUGCAAGCGUUAUCCGGAUUCACUGGGUUUAAAGGGUGCGCAGGCGGAUAUGUAAGUCAGUGGUGAAAUCUCCGGGCUUAACCCGGAAACUGCCGUUGAUACUAUAUAUCUUGAAUGCUGUGGAGGUAAGCAGAAUAUGUCAUGUAGCGGUGAAAUGCUUAGAUAUGACAUAGAAUACCUAUUGCGAAGGCAGCUUACUACGCAGAUAUUGACGCUCAUGCACGAAAGCGUGGGGAUCAAACAGG
RNAcentral lists this ribosomal RNA (253 nucleotides) under uncultured bacterium. Its description in RNAcentral is "partial 16S ribosomal RNA". It matches the Rfam family "Bacterial small subunit ribosomal RNA", at positions 524 to 776 of the family's 1533-position model. The record is from RNAcentral.